Molecule: long non-coding RNA, 374 nt
Organism: Hippoglossus stenolepis (Pacific halibut)
Lineage: Eukaryota; Metazoa; Chordata; Actinopteri; Pleuronectiformes; Pleuronectidae
Exons: 3
Source: RefSeq, a predicted model, not a curated record
UAUUAUGCUAUCACAUGAACCAUCGCUAGCUAGUGAGCUAACUGGCUAGUUAGUGAGCUAUCUGGCUCGCUAGUGAGCUCACUGGCUAACUAGUGAGCUCACUGGCUAGCUUGUGAGCUAAAUGGCUACCUAGCUUCUUUCUAAGGAGCAUAACAUUGAGGAGGAGAAGGAGCUGAGGGACUGAGCUAACAGACGAGGCACACCCACAAGGCUCCAGACCAGGGAGUGAGGGAGAGCAUGCUAAGCAUCAGAAGAGACGUUAGACAUGUCAGACAGGAGAGGGCUUCCCUGAGGUAACACCGACCAGACAGAGGCAGAUUUUACAUUUUGUGCUCCACAUACCUGGAACAAAUUGGAGCAUAAGCUGAAGACUA